UGCCUGCCCAGUGAUAUUUUCAACGGCCGCGGGAUCCUACACCGUGCAAAGGUAGCAUAAUCACUUGUCAUCUAAAUAAUGACUAGUAUGAAUGGCCCUAUGAGGACUUCCCUGUCUCUUGUAAUCAAUCAAUGAAACUGAUCUUCCAGUCCAAAAGCUGGAAUAUCCCCACAAGACGAAAAGACCCUGUGGAACUUCCAAGUGCUAAUCAACAAUAUGACACAACACUUUUAGUUGGGGCAACUUUGGAACAAAACAAAACUUCCAAUUAUAAACACCCUAUUAACCAAAAAUUAGGUCCACACACCAACUUUUUGACCCACUAUCGACCCAGUACCACUGAUAAAAGAAACAAGCUACCCCAGGGAUAACAGCGCCAUCCCCUCUUAGAGUCCAAAUCGACGAGCGGGGCUUACGACCUCGAUGUUGGAUCAGGGCCCCCAAACAGUGCAGCAGCUGUUAAAGGUUUGUUUGUUCAACAAUUAAUGCCCUACGUGAUCU
This 501-nucleotide ribosomal RNA is filed under the name Aspidoscelis lineattissimus. RNAcentral's name for it is "partial 16S ribosomal RNA". It matches the Rfam family "Bacterial large subunit ribosomal RNA", at positions 1856 to 2606 of the family's 2925-position model. Lineage: Eukaryota; Metazoa; Chordata; Lepidosauria; Squamata; Teiidae. The record is from RNAcentral.